RNAcentral lists this ribosomal RNA (29 nucleotides) under Botrytis allii. Its description in RNAcentral is "partial 18S ribosomal RNA". The record is from RNAcentral. RNAcentral also lists the same sequence under 1 other name. Lineage: Eukaryota; Fungi; Ascomycota; Leotiomycetes; Helotiales; Sclerotiniaceae.
UACCUGGUUGAUUCUGCCAGUAGUCAUAG